AAUAUUGCACAAUGGGGGAAACCCUGAUGCAGCGACGCCGCGUGAGCGAAGAAGGCCUUCGGGUCGUAAAGCUCUGUCCUAAGGGAAGAAACGGACGGUACCUUAGGAGGAAGCCCAGGCUAACUCCGUGCCAGCAGCCGCGGUAAUACGUAGGGGGCGAGCGUUAUCCGGAAUUAUUGGGCGUAUAGGGUGCGUAGGCGGCCUUUUAAGUCAGAUGUGAAAGCCCACGGCUUAACCGUGGGACUGCAUUUGAAACUGGAGGGCUUGGGUAUCGGAGAGGGUAGUGGAAUUCCCAGUGUAGCGGUGGAAUGCGUAGAUAUUGGGAGGAACACCAGUGGCGAAGGCGACUACCUGGACGAAAACUGACGCUGAGGCACGAAAGCUAGGGGAGCAAACA
This 397-nucleotide ribosomal RNA is filed under the name uncultured bacterium. Its description in RNAcentral is "partial 16S ribosomal RNA". It matches the Rfam family "Bacterial small subunit ribosomal RNA", at positions 360 to 774 of the family's 1533-position model. The record is from RNAcentral.